Molecule: non-coding RNA, 22 nt
Filed under: Arabidopsis thaliana (thale cress)
Lineage: Eukaryota; Viridiplantae; Streptophyta; Magnoliopsida; Brassicales; Brassicaceae
Source: RNAcentral
AAGCGGCGCUGGUGGCUGAUGG